RNAcentral lists this ribosomal RNA (442 nucleotides) under uncultured bacterium. RNAcentral describes it as "partial 16S ribosomal RNA". It matches the Rfam family "Bacterial small subunit ribosomal RNA", at positions 338 to 795 of the family's 1533-position model. The record is from RNAcentral.
CCUACGGGAGGCUGCAGUGGGGAAUAUUGGGCAAUGGGCGCAAGCCUGACCCAGCAACGCCGCGUGAAGGAAGAAGGCUUUCGGGUUGUAAACUUCUUUUAAGAGGGAAGAGCAGAAGACGGUACCUCUUGAAUAAGCCACGGCUAACUACGUGCCAGCAGCCGCGGUAAUACGUAGGUGGCAAGCGUUGUCCGGAAUUACUGGGUGUAAAGGGCGUGCAGCCGGGAAGACAAGUCAGAUGUGAAAUCCCGCGGCUCAACCGCAGAACUGCAUUUGAAACUGUUUUUCUUGAGUACCGGAGAGGUCAUCGGAAUUCCUUGUGUAGCGGUGAAAUGCGUAGAUAUAAGGAAGAACACCAGUGGCGAAGGCGGAUGUCUGGACGGCAACUGACGGUGAGGCGCGAAAGCGUGGGGAGCGAACAGGAUUAGAUACCCCGGUAGUC